This 406-nucleotide ribosomal RNA is filed under the name uncultured bacterium. RNAcentral describes it as "partial 16S ribosomal RNA". It matches the Rfam family "Bacterial small subunit ribosomal RNA", at positions 30 to 526 of the family's 1533-position model. The record is from RNAcentral.
AUUGAACGCUGGCGGCAGGCUUAACACAUGCAAGUCGAGCGAGCGGCGGACGGGUGAGAAAUGUAUGGGAAAGUGGCUGAUGGAGGGGGAUAACUAAUGGAAACGGUAGCUGAUACCGAAUACAAUCAGAUGUGCCCAGAUGGGAUUAGAUAGUGGGUGGGGUAAGGGCUCCCCUAGGCGACGAUCCCUAGCUGGUCUGAGAGGAUGACCAGCCACACUGGAACUGAUACACGGUCCAGACUCCUACGGGAGGCAGCAGUGGUGAAUAUUGCACAAUGGGGGCAACCCUGAUGCAGCCAUGCCGCGUGUGUGAAGAAGGCCUUCGGGUUGUAAAGCACUUUCAGCGAGGAAGCGUUACUUGCAGAAGAAGCACCGGCUAACUCCGUGCCAGCAGCCGCGGUAAUUC